This 107-nucleotide small nuclear RNA is filed under the name Rhinolophus ferrumequinum (greater horseshoe bat). Lineage: Eukaryota; Metazoa; Chordata; Mammalia; Chiroptera; Rhinolophidae. The record is from RNAcentral.
GUGCUUGCUUCGGUAGCACACAUACUAAAAUUGGAAUGAUACAGAGAAGGUUAGCAUGGCCCCUGCGCAACGAUGACAUGCAAAUUCGUGAAGUGUUCCAUAUUUUU